Molecule: non-coding RNA, 2867 nt
Organism: Oryctolagus cuniculus (rabbit)
Lineage: Eukaryota; Metazoa; Chordata; Mammalia; Lagomorpha; Leporidae
Source: RefSeq, a predicted model, not a curated record
GGAAGCUUCUGGGGCAGGGUGGACAGGGAGCUGCAGCUGGCGAUGCCCACAGAAGCUGACUCCCACAGAAGGAGCCUUGACGCUUGUGAGACAGACAGCAAGCUACCAAACUCUUUCCCUCUCUGCUAUCCACAAUCCCACAGAGGGCUGGUGGCGGGUCUGCCCUCGGAGGAUCAACAGCAGCUGGUGGCAGCAGAAGCCGGCGCAGGCCAGGCCGAUGGCAAACCAGAGGGCUGAUGACUCCUGGGACGAGAAAGGAGCCCUGGUGAUGUGGGAAGAGAAGGGGAUCCAGCUUGAACUUGGCGAGGAAAGCCUCAGAUCCUGGGAGAUGGCACCCAGAUGCUUAGAGGAGACCCUCUCCCUGCCUUCUCUUUCCGGGCUGGAGGCAAGGAAAGGGGUUGUUCUCAGAAGGACAGGGGAAGAAGCUAAGGACCCUCAAGACAGAGGUGGCACAAAGGCAGCUGUCUAGACAGCAACGCCUCCUUCCUGCCAGGCUAGGAGCUCUGGCUGGGAGGACGCAGGAGAGUGACAACGUGAUGGAGCACGGGACCUAGUUAUCAGGAGGAAUAAGUCACGAGCUCAAGCUCAAGGGCAGCCCAGAGCACCGACAGAGAGAAUAAUUCAGCCAUCAAUGUUAGCAAGAGGACAGCGUGGCCACCGGAACAAUCAGCCAGAGCUGUCCUGCCACUCAGAGCUUGCUAAGGCUGGGAGAGGCCCUCAGGUCAUUGGUUCAGCCCCCUGCUGUGGGGCAGGACCUCCCCUCAAACCCUCUUAACCAAGCGCUCCCCAUUCCUAGUUUUAAACAUCCACUGAGUCAGGGAUUUUGUGUUCUGCCUCAGAUCUUGGGUGGUCGGUCCAUUCUAGGUUUGAUCCCCAGUUAUGUGAACUUGCACAGGUUUCUUAAGCUCUCUGAGCUACACGCAUUUGCUCAUCUGUAAAAUGGGUAUAACAAUAGAGAUGAUUAACCUGGACUUCAUAGGGUUGCAAGAUGCAAGGAAAUGAGGCGUGAGAUGGCCGCAUUCUGGUUCACGCUCAGUGUGUCACUCCCCAAGGGCCAUUUUACAGACAAGGAGACGACAUUUAUAAAGGGUGCAAGUUUAACUCCUAAGACCCCAAGCUUUCCAGGGCUUGCUGUCUGCCUGAGCUGCAACUUUGGCAACUGUGGUACAAACACCCAUCAGCCAGGACAGCGGGUCCCGCAAGUCCAGGAGAGACUGCAGACGCCUCCCUUAGCCUUUCACUGCCUGCAUGGUACCCACCCCACCUCCACCAGGGACCCACCCUAUCCUAUUCUCUGUCCCCAGCCACCAUGAGCCUUAGCCCACCUCCUCCUGGGUCCCCCUGGCCUCCAAUUUCCAGCCCCUUGAGGGAGGAGUGGACUCAGUGGCCAGCGAGGGCGUGGAUCGCACCAGCAGCCUCCUCUCACCCUCACCCCUAGGAGCUUUGGUAACAGGUUUUUCUUUGCAAAAUGGGAGAAAUACAGGUCCCGCUGCCAGGGGAUUGGAAGCUCGCUGCCCCAGCUGGCUUUUAGAGCAGCCCCUCCAUGGGCCCGGGGCGGCAGUGGGACAGGCCUUGCAUUGGGCUCUGCCAUCCCCUGACCCACUUCUUCCCUGUCAGCACACAUUAACUUGGGCAGCCGCCUGCAGGCGGGAGGAUCCUGGGGCCGCGGUGCCCUGUGGGCUCAGGCAGUGCUGAUAGGCAACGGCGGCCCAUCAGAGCUGUCAGGCCCAGGCCUGCCUUGCAACUCAGCCCCAGGGACGAGCCUGGGCUGAUGGAAGCUGAUUCCCGCAGACUUCUUUCUGGCGCUACAUCAAAGCAUUGAAGAAAAGACAUUGUGGCCUUUUCCUGGCCCCCUGCAGCAGCUCCAAAGGGCUAUUCUGGGACCUGCUCUCUCUCCCAGUGUUUGAAGUUACCUAGCCUGGUUGCUUCAGCUCCACUUAACUGUUUCGUAAAAUAGUUAUGCUCCUCUUAGAAUACUGUAGAAUUUUCCUAAGGGGCCUGGAAGGUCAUAGCACACACAGUCCCCUGCCCCCGCCUCCCACCAAGCAGCAGUGACAUGCUAGACAGAUGGUCACCCAGCAUCUUCGUUCACACAUCCAAGGACAAGGAGCUCUCCUCCUCCUGACAUGGGUCCUCCCUCAAGAAGCAGCUUCUGAGAGGCAGUCCCGGGAGGCAGUGUGGAGUAGCAGAAAGGGCAUGCGCCCAGGUUGGGAUGCUACCAUCGGGGUGGCUCUGAAGCAGCUCCAUCCUGCUAUGCCUCCCGAUCCUGAGCCUUAAAAAUGGAGGUGGUGACACCUGCACUGCAGAUUGGCCUUAAGGACUGGAUGGAAUGAGACACACAUGGCAGGUGGCCUGUACAGUGCGAGUCCCCUUUGCCUCCUGGACUUCCUGGUGGCACCUCCUUCACUGGUCCACCUCUCCAAAUGCCACGGCACCUGUCACAUGGCGUCACCUCCAUAUCCCAGGUAAUAGUGAGGUUCAGAGAAGUGACAAAACCUGCAGGACCUGCACCAGUGCCACAAAGCCAGGAGAAAGGACAACUUCCAAAACCUAACUGGCCAGGCUCUCCCUCUGCAGCACCAGCCAAGCGCCUCUGAUCAGCAGCCAUCUGCCAGCAGAAGACCCUCUCGGGACCCCCACUCACUACCAGCCCAUGCCCUGGUGGCAGAUCUGACUCGGGCGUCAGUCCCAGAGCUGGGGGGACAACUCAAGCCCUAUUAAACAGCUUGUGCCUGCUUGCGCUCCCCUGGCCUCCUGGGCAGACGAGACAGGGUGUGCUCUCAUCCACUCAGACUGCCAGUGAGGGAAGAAGCGAUGGAGAGGAGAAAGUCGAGCAGGUGGGGUGUAGCUGGCGGGGGACGUGCUGG